UUUUUUGGGGUUUUGGGACAUUGAUGGUCGACACCAACUUUAUCAGAUUAAAAAUUUUUUGGGGGUUUUGGGACAUUGAUGAUCGAUACCAACUGUAUCAGAUUAAUUUUUUUUUGGUUUUGGGACACUGAUGGCCAACACCAACUUUAUCAGAUUAAUUUUUUUUUUGUUUUAGGACAUUGAUGGCCGACACCAACUUUAUCAGAUAUAUAUAGGUGUUUUGUCUUCCAUUUGAGUUUUUUUUUUUUUGCUUUCUGUUUGCU
Molecule: long non-coding RNA, 263 nt
Filed under: Gossypium raimondii (Peruvian cotton)
Lineage: Eukaryota; Viridiplantae; Streptophyta; Magnoliopsida; Malvales; Malvaceae
Description: long non-coding RNA (GRAI_LNC007326)
Source: RNAcentral